AUUGAACGCUGGCGGCAGGCUUAACACAUGCAAGUCGAGCGGGGUGAUGGUGCUUGCACUAUCACUUAGCGGCGGACGGGUGAGUAAUGCUUAGGAAUCUGCCUAUUAGUGGGGGACAACAUCUCGAAAGGGAUGCUAAUACCGCAUACGUCCUACGGGAGAAAGCAGGGGAUCACUUGUGACCUUGCGCUAAUAGAUGAGCCUAAGUCGGCUUAGCUAGUUGGUGGGGUAAAGGCCUACCAAGGCGACGGUCGGUAGCGGGUCUGAGAGGAUGAUCCGCCACACUGGGACUGAGAAACGGCCCAGACUCCUACGGGAGGCAGCAGUGGGGAAGAUUGGACAAUGGGGGGAACCCUGAUCCAGCCAUGCCGCGUGUGUGAAGGAGGCCUUAUGGUUGUAAAGCACUUUAAGCGAGGAGGAGGCUCUUUUGGUUAAUACCCAAGAUGAGUGGACGUUACUCGCAGAAUAAGCACCGGCUAACUCUGUGCCAGCCGCCGCAGUAA
RNAcentral lists this ribosomal RNA (503 nucleotides) under uncultured bacterium. Its description in RNAcentral is "partial 16S ribosomal RNA". It matches the Rfam family "Bacterial small subunit ribosomal RNA", at positions 30 to 523 of the family's 1533-position model. The record is from RNAcentral.